RNAcentral lists this transfer RNA (55 nucleotides) under Synchonnus sp. UPOL A00031. RNAcentral describes it as "partial tRNA-Ser". Lineage: Eukaryota; Metazoa; Arthropoda; Insecta; Coleoptera; Lycidae. The record is from RNAcentral. RNAcentral also lists the same sequence under 1 other name.
AAAGAAAUAUUUUUAAAAAAGCUUCUAACUUUUUAUCUAGCAUUAAUAUGUUUAU